RNAcentral lists this long non-coding RNA (1314 nucleotides) under Zonotrichia albicollis (white-throated sparrow). RNAcentral describes it as "lncRNA (ENSZALG00000001847.1)". Lineage: Eukaryota; Metazoa; Chordata; Aves; Passeriformes; Passerellidae. The record is from RNAcentral.
CCCAAACUGAGCCAGGAUUUCAGAGCCUUUUGGCCCCAAACUGAGCCAGGAUUUCAGAGCCUUUUAGUGCUGAACCCAAACUGAGCCAGGAUUUCAGAGCCUUUUGGCCCCAAACUGAGCCAGGAUUUCAGAGCCUUUUGGCCCUGAACCUAAACUGAGCCAGGAUUUCAGAGCCUUUUAGCCCUAAACUCAAACUGAGUCAGGAUUUCAGAGCCUUUGGCCCCAAACCCUGAGGGGAGCCAGGAUUUCAGAGCCUUUUAGCCCUGAACCUAAACUGAGCCAGGAUUUCAGAGCCUUUUGGCCCCAAACCCAAACUGAGCCAGGAUUUCAGAGCCUUUUAGCCCCAAACUCAAACUGAGCCAGGAUUUCAGAGCCUUUUAGCCCCAAACUGAGCCAGGAUUUCAGAGUAUUUGGCCCCAAACUGAGCCAGGAUUUCAGAGCCUUUUGGCCCCAAGCCCCGAGGGGAGGCAGAAUUUCCUAAACCCCCGUUGAUCCCCAAAGGCAGUGGUGUUUCCCAGGGCUCUGGUGAUUUCCCCAGGUGGUUCUCCAUAGCUCUGGGGGUUCUCCAUGGCUCAGGUGAUUUUCCCAGGACUCUCCGUGGCUCAGGGGGUUCUGCAUGGCUCAGGGAACUUUUCCAGAGGGUUCUUCACAGUUCAGGAAGUUCUCCCAUGGCUCAGGUGAUUUUCCAAGGGGGCUCUCCACAGUUCAGGGGGUUCUCAUGGCUCAGGGGUUCCUCAGGGCUCAGGUAAUUUUUCCAGAGCUCAGGUGAUUAUCCCAGGUGGUUCUCCAAGGCUCAGGGAGGUUCUCCAUGGCUCAGGGGUUCUCCCAGAGCUCAGGUGAUUUUCCCAGGGCUCUCCAUGGCUCAGGGUGCUCUCUGUGGCUCAGGUGAUUAUCCCAGAUGGUUCUCCAUGGUUCAGGGGGUUCUCCAUGGUUCAGGGGGCUCUCCAUGGAUCAGGGGACUUUUCCAGGGGGCUCUCCAUGGUUCAGGGGGCUCUCCAUGGCUCAGAGGGUUCUCCAUGGCUCAGGUGAUUUUCCCAGGGCUCUCCAUGGUUCAGGGGGCUCUCCAUGGCUCAGGGAGUUUGCCAUGGCUCAGGGGGUUCUCCCAAGGGCUCCCAGGUGGUUCUCCAUAGCUCAGAGGGUUCUCCAUGGCUCAGGUGAUUAUCCCAGGUGGUUCUCCAUGGCUCAGGUGAUUAUCCCAGGGCUCUCCAUGUCCCAGGGGGGGUUCCCAGGCUCCCUGACCCCCCGUUCCCACGUGUCCCCGGCAGGAGAGAAGCCGUUCAUCUGCGAGAUCUGCGGCAAGAGCUUCACGAGCCG